Molecule: ribosomal RNA, 333 nt
Filed under: uncultured eukaryote
Lineage: Eukaryota
Description: partial 18S ribosomal RNA
Rfam family: Eukaryotic small subunit ribosomal RNA
Source: RNAcentral
CCCUUAGAUGUUCUGGGCCGCACGCGCGCUACACUGACACGUUCAUCAAGUCUAUAACCUUGACCGAGAGGUCUGGGUAAUCUUUUAAAAACGUGUCGUGCUGGGGAUAGAUUAUUGCAAUUAUUAAUCUUCAACGAGGAAUUCCUAGUAAACGCAAGUCAUCAACUUGCAUUGAUUACGUCCCUGCCCUUUGUACACACCGCCCGUCGCUACUACCGAUUGAACGGUUUAGUGAGGGCCUCGGAUUGGUCUCGGCCCGCUCUUUACCGGGCGGCGCCGUUGGUCGAGAAGACGCUCGAACUUGAUCGUUUAGAGGAAGUAAAAGUCGUAACA